RNAcentral lists this ribosomal RNA (253 nucleotides) under uncultured bacterium. RNAcentral's name for it is "partial 16S ribosomal RNA". It matches the Rfam family "Bacterial small subunit ribosomal RNA", at positions 524 to 776 of the family's 1533-position model. The record is from RNAcentral.
UACAGAGGGUGCGAGCGUUGUCCGGAAUCACUGGGCGUAAAGGGCGCGUAGGCGGCCUGAUAAGUAGGGGGUGAAAUCCUGUGGCUUAACUGCAGGGCUGCCUCCUAGACUGUUAGGCUCGAGCACGGUAGAGGCAGAUGGAAUUCCCGGUGUAGCGGUGGAAUGCGUAGAGAUCGGGAGGAACACCGGUGGCGAAGGCGGGUCUCUGGGCCGAUACUGACGCUGAGGAGCGAAAGCGUGGGGAGCGAACAGG